RNAcentral lists this transfer RNA (118 nucleotides) under Alectoria sarmentosa. Its description in RNAcentral is "tRNA-Phe". Lineage: Eukaryota; Fungi; Ascomycota; Lecanoromycetes; Lecanorales; Parmeliaceae. The record is from RNAcentral.
GGUCGCUUACUUCGUUUGGUUAGAGCGUGGUGCUGAUACUUACUGAAACGCCAAGACACCCGAUAAUUUAGCACCGGCUGAGGUUGAGUAGUUGCGAGUUCGACCCUCGCAGUGACCA